This is a non-coding RNA of Mycena rebaudengoi, 94 nucleotides long. Lineage: Eukaryota; Fungi; Basidiomycota; Agaricomycetes; Agaricales; Mycenaceae. The record is from the annotation of a GenBank genome assembly.
GCCUUGGUAGAUCAAUAGGCAGAUCAUCCCAACACAGUGAGUAACCUCCCGACGAUUAUACGGGAAGGCGGAGGUUCGAGUCCUCCCCAAGGCA